UGGGGUGUAGCCAAGCGGUAAGGCAGCGGAUUUUGAUUCCGCCAUGCGGAGGUUCGAAUCCUCCCUCCCCAGCCA
RNAcentral lists this transfer RNA (75 nucleotides) under Acidiphilium sp. RNAcentral's name for it is "tRNA-Gln". It matches the Rfam family "tRNA". From Rfam's summary of the family: Transfer RNA (tRNA) molecules are approximately 80 nucleotides in length. Their secondary structure includes four short double-helical elements and three loops (D, anti-codon, and T loops). Lineage: Bacteria; Pseudomonadati; Pseudomonadota; Alphaproteobacteria; Acetobacterales; Acidocellaceae. The record is from RNAcentral. RNAcentral also lists the same sequence under 4 other names.